Molecule: ribosomal RNA, 591 nt
Filed under: Dexamine spinosa
Lineage: Eukaryota; Metazoa; Arthropoda; Malacostraca; Amphipoda; Dexaminidae
Description: partial 18S small subunit ribosomal RNA
Rfam family: Eukaryotic small subunit ribosomal RNA
Source: RNAcentral
AUGCUUGUCUCAAAGAUUAAGCCAUGCAUGCCUAAGUCCUGACAUUGGUCUUAACCACGGAUCGCUCAUUAUAUCAGUCAUAAUCGUUAAGUGUUUCGCAGCACGGGUAACUGUGCCAAUUCUAGAGCUAAUACGGUGUUUCAUGGGGUGCACCUUCACGGGUGCAUCCUUCAUGUCGUAACCAUUGGACGGAGCUUAUGGUGUUGAUGUUCUGCAUCGUGUCGGCUGUCUGUGUGUGGCCCCUCACUGUGUAUGUGCCACGCGUUCCUCUGUUCYGUCGCGGCAUUCCCUUCAUUGGUCGAGUGUUCGUGGUGGUUCAUGUCGUGUGGCAUUUGCUUUGAGGUGGUUUUCGCGCGGGUCGUUAUGACGGUGUGUUCGGAUCGCCUCUGCGAAAUCCUGAUUAGAUGACUCUGGAGAAUUUCUCAUGAAAGCGUCCACUUGUGGAUGCGAGCACUUUUCGAGUGUCUGUCCUAUCAGCUAGACAACAGUGUAACGAACUGUUGUGGCGAUGACGGGUAACGGGGAAUCUAAGUUCGGUUCCGGAGAAGUAGCCCUAGACAAGGCUAUUACGUCCAAGGAAGGCAGCAGGCA